Non-coding RNA from Caenorhabditis elegans, 21 nucleotides. Lineage: Eukaryota; Metazoa; Nematoda; Chromadorea; Rhabditida; Rhabditidae. The record is from Ensembl.
UUGUACACUGUUAAAUACAUU